GCCUCCGUAGCUCAGGGGAUAGAGCGUCUGCCUCCGGAGCAGAAGGUCGUAGGUUCGAAUCCUAUCGGGGGUACCA
RNAcentral lists this transfer RNA (76 nucleotides) under Auritidibacter ignavus. RNAcentral's name for it is "tRNA-Arg". It matches the Rfam family "tRNA". Rfam says of the family: Transfer RNA (tRNA) molecules are approximately 80 nucleotides in length. Their secondary structure includes four short double-helical elements and three loops (D, anti-codon, and T loops). RNAcentral also lists the same sequence under 4 other names. Lineage: Bacteria; Bacillati; Actinomycetota; Actinomycetes; Micrococcales; Micrococcaceae. The record is from RNAcentral.